CCAGCUGGCCGGGCAGCCGCGCAUGUCAUGAGCCGAAAGGCGGCAUGUGAGGAAAGUCCGGGCUCCAGGGAAACACGGUGCCGGAUAACGUCCGGCGGGGGCGACCCCAGGGAAAGUGCCACAGAAAGGAAACCGCCCCGUCUUUCGUUGCGCCGGGUCCGAAUUGGGCCGGACGCAAGGAAUGACGGGGUAAGGGUGAAAGGGUGGGGUAAGAGCCCACCGCGCAACUGGUAACAGCGGCGGCAUGGCAAACCCCACCGGGAGCAAAACCGAAUAGGGACGGCGUGCCGGGCGAAAGUCCGGCGAUCAGUUUCCGGGUCAGUCGUCCGGGUAGGUUGCAGGAGGCGGGUGGUAACAUCCGUCCAAGAUGAAUGGCUGCCGCGCCGGGCGAGAGCCCGGCCAUACAGAACCCGGCUUACAGGCCAGCUGGCACU
RNAcentral lists this RNase P RNA (434 nucleotides) under Phyllobacterium brassicacearum. RNAcentral's name for it is "RNase P RNA component class A". It matches the Rfam family "Bacterial RNase P class A". From Rfam's summary of the family: Ribonuclease P (RNase P) is a ubiquitous endoribonuclease, found in archaea, bacteria and eukarya as well as chloroplasts and mitochondria. Its best characterised activity is the generation of mature 5'-ends of tRNAs by cleaving the 5'-leader elements of precursor-tRNAs. Cellular RNase Ps are ribonucleoproteins. Lineage: Bacteria; Pseudomonadati; Pseudomonadota; Alphaproteobacteria; Hyphomicrobiales; Phyllobacteriaceae. The record is from RNAcentral.